GACGAACGCUGGCGGCGUGCCUAAUACAUGCAAGUUGAGCGCUGAAGGUUGGUACUUGUACCAACUGGAUGAGCAGCGAACGGGUGAGUAACGCGUGGGGAAUCUGCCUUUGAGCGGGGGACAACAUUUGGAAACGAAUGCUAAUACCGCAUAAAAACUUUAAACACAAGUUUUAAGUUUGAAAGAUGCAAUUGCAUCACUCAAAGAUGAUCCCGCGUUGUAUUAGUUAGUUGGUGAGGUAAAGGCCCACAAAGGGGAUGAUACAUAGCCGACCUGAGAGGGUGACCGGCCACAUUGGGACUGGGACACGGCCCAAACUCCUACGGGAGGCAGCAGUAGGGAAUCUUCGGCAAUGGACGAAAGUCUGACCGAGCAACGCCGCGUGAGUGAAGAAGGUUUUCGGAUCGUAAAACUCUGUUGGUAGAGAAGAACGUUGGUGAGAGUGGAAAGCUCAUCAAGUGACGGUAACUACCCAGAAAGGGACGGCUAACUACGUG
This 497-nucleotide ribosomal RNA is filed under the name uncultured bacterium. RNAcentral describes it as "partial 16S ribosomal RNA". It matches the Rfam family "Bacterial small subunit ribosomal RNA", at positions 28 to 507 of the family's 1533-position model. The record is from RNAcentral.